Triticum aestivum (bread wheat) is the source of this 896-nucleotide long non-coding RNA. RefSeq lists it as uncharacterized. The record is from RefSeq and is a predicted model, not a curated record. Lineage: Eukaryota; Viridiplantae; Streptophyta; Magnoliopsida; Poales; Poaceae. The transcript has 3 exons.
UAAGAGUAAAUUCUGGUUUUUACCCUCUAUUCUGACAUUUUUGACACUAAUUACCCUAUUUAGCGAGAUUUUGUCCGUUUUACCCCAUUUAGCAAAAGUUCUGCCAGAAUUUACCCUGUUUAGCGAGAUUUUGUGUUCUGACCGACAAGUUUCAAUUGUCUGGUCCAGCUGGCAUGCCACAUCAAUGGUUUUUUAUUGCCUAUUUUUCUCCCUGCCGAACCAGUCCUCGUAGCUUCUACCGACCAGGACAGCCUGAUGGUGAUCACUCGCAUCGCGUCCAACGCACAACGUGCGAGUCGGCCGAGCGGCGAGCGCCAUGCUCGCCUCUACUCGGUUCUCGCUUGCGUUGCUCGCCCCCAAUCGUUGCUCAGGAUUGUCAAGCAGUGGCGACGAUGACGGCGACGGUGGCGGGUGCUGAGGUCCUGGCCAUGCGCUUUCAUACCUCCUCGGGCCGGGCUGUAUGGCCACAACAUCAUGGCAAGAAAUGACCUCGUGGAAUCCGAUGGUCCCGUCAAGUUCGCUGACGUCGGCGUAGUCCUCUGAAUUUGAUAUACUUAAAAAACUAAUCAUGUAUGUGACCGCAUCAGGUUGUGCUUAGUUCUUCUUCCUACUUUGGCGACAUAGCAGGGACCCUAUUAGUCUGUGCUCAGUUGAUGGCGGUUCUAUGGCGACGUCUGGUCCAACAAAUCAGCGAGGCGUUUAAUUCGGACAAAAUUAAGAUGCUUAUUAGAAGAUCAUGUCUAUAUAUAUCACCCUUCUGUAAUUGAGCUCCUGGAAGUGAUGGAGGACAAGAUGAUGUUAGCAUCCUAGAUGGAGAGCUUUGCAAGGUGUAGGAGCUAAGAAAGGUGAAGACUGACAAGGUGUAUGUGCCACUGCUACUGUUUGGUGUAUUCUGA